AUCUUAGUCCGGCAAUUGGAAUGAGAGUAAUUUAAACCAAUACUCGAGUAGCCAUUGGAGGGCAAGUCUGGUGCCAGCAGCCUCGGUAAUUCCAGCUCCAAUAGCGUAUAUUAAAGUUGUUGCAGUCAAAAAGCUCGUAGUCUGAAUCUUGGCUCUGCGUUGAGCGUCCGUGGCCUUCUUGGCUACGCGUACGCGAUACGUGAGCCAUGUACUUCGGAGGAACACAUGUACUUUUAACUAAGUGCGUGUGGGAUUCCGAUAGUUUACUUUGAGAAAAAUAGAGUGUUCAAAGCAGGCGUUUUGCCUUGAAUACAUUAGCAUGGGAUAAUGAAAUAGGACAUUGGUUCUAUUUUGAUGGUUUAAGGACCGAUGUAAUGAUUAAUAGGGACAGUUGGGGACAUUCAUAUUCCAUGGCUAGAGGUGAAAUUCUUGGAUUCAUGGAGGAUGAACGACUGCGAAAGCAUUUGUCAAAGAUGUUUUCAUUGAUCAAGAACGAAAGUUAGGGGAGCAAAGACGAUUAGAUACCGUCGUAGUCUUAACCAUAAACGAUGCCGACUAGGGAUCGGUGGGAGUUAGUUUGAUGACUCCAUCGGCACCUCAUGGGAAACCAAAGUCUUUGGGUUCCGGGGGGAGUAUGGUCGCAAGGCUGAAACUUAAAGGAAUUGACGGAAGGGCACCACCAGGAGUGGAGCCUGCGGCUUAAUUUGACCCAACACGGGGAAACUCACCAGGUCCAGACAUGGUAAGGAUUGACAGAUUGAGAGCUCUUUCUUGAUUCCAUGAAAGGUGGCGCAUGGCCGUUCUUAGUUGGUGGAGUGAUUUGUCUGGUUAAUUCCGUUAACGAACGAGACCUUGACCUGCUAACUAGUCCCAGUAAGCUUCGCUUGCUGGCUGACUUCUUAGAGGGACAAUCUGUAUCCAGCAGAUGGAAGUUUGAGGCAAUAACAGGUCUGUGAUGCCCUUAGAUGUCCUGGGCUGCACGCGCGCUACACUGACGAGCUCAGCGAGUUUAUCACCUUGGCAGAGAUGUCUGGGUAAUCUUGUUAAAGCUCGUCGUGAUGGGGAUAGAUGAUUGUAAUUAUUCGUCUUGAACGAGGAAUUCCUAGUAAGUGUGAGUCAUCAGCUCGCGCUGAUUACGUCCCUGCCCUUUGUACACACCGCCCGUCGCUCCUACCGAUUGAAUGGUCCGGUGAGAACGUCGGAUCACGCGAGGUCCGCUGGUUUUCCAACA
This 1231-nucleotide ribosomal RNA is filed under the name metagenome. Its description in RNAcentral is "SSU rRNA". It matches the Rfam family "Eukaryotic small subunit ribosomal RNA", at positions 494 to 1739 of the family's 1831-position model. The record is from RNAcentral.